This 1023-nucleotide ribosomal RNA is filed under the name Penicillium viridicatum. Its description in RNAcentral is "SSU rRNA". It matches the Rfam family "Eukaryotic small subunit ribosomal RNA", at positions 69 to 1102 of the family's 1831-position model. The record is from RNAcentral. Lineage: Eukaryota; Fungi; Ascomycota; Eurotiomycetes; Eurotiales; Aspergillaceae.
GCACUUGUACUGUGAAACUGCGAAUGGCUCAUUAAAUCAGUUAUCGUUUAUUUGAUAGUACCUUACUACAUGGAUACCUGUGGUAAUUCUAGAGCUAAUACAUGCUAAAAACCCCGACUUCAGGAAGGGGUGUAUUUAUUAGAUAAAAAACCAACGCCCUUCGGGGCUCCUUGGUGAAUCAUAAUAACUUAACGAAUCGCAUGGCCUUGCGCCGGCGAUGGUUCAUUCAAAUUUCUGCCCUAUCAACUUUCGAUGGUAGGAUAGUGGCCUACCAUGGUGGCAACGGGUAACGGGGAAUUAGGGUUCGAUUCCGGAGAGGGAGCCUGAGAAACGGCUACCACAUCCAAGGAAGGCAGCAGGCGCGCAAAUUACCCAAUCCCGAUACGGGGAGGUAGUGACAAUAAAUACUGAUACGGGGCUCUUUUGGGUCUCGUAAUUGGAAUGAGAACAAUUUAAAUCCCUUAACGAGGAACAAUUGGAGGGCAAGUCUGGUGCCAGCAGCCGCGGUAAUUCCAGCUCCAAUAGCGUAUAUUAAAGUUGUUGCAGUUAAAAAGCUCGUAGUUGAACCUUGGGCCUGGCUGGCCGGUCCGCCUCACCGCGAGUACUGGUCCGGCUGGGCCUUUCCUUCUGGGGAACCUCAUGGCCUUCACUGGCUGUGGGGGGAACCAGGACUUUUACUGUGAAAAAAUUAGAGUGUUCAAAGCAGGCCUUUGCUCGAAUACAUUAGCAUGGAAUAAUAGAAUAGGACGUGUGGUUCUAUUUUGUUGGUUUCUAGGACCGCCGUAAUGAUUAAUAGGGAUAGUCGGGGGCGUCAGUAUUCAGCUGUCAGAGGUGAAAUUCUUGGAUUUGCUGAAGACUAACUACUGCGAAAGCAUUCGCCAAGGAUGUUUUCAUUAAUCAGGGAACGAAAGUUAGGGGAUCGAAGACGAUCAGAUACCGUCGUAGUCUUAACCAUAAACUAUGCCGACUAGGGAUCGGACGGGAUUCUAUAAUGACCCGUUCGGCACCUUACGAGAAAUCAAA